AGAAUCCAUUUGUGGUCGGUCGGCUCCAGAGCUGCGCGGGGUGGGACACAAAACCCAAACCCGAAGUUGGAAAA
Molecule: long non-coding RNA, 74 nt
Organism: Loxodonta africana (African savanna elephant)
Lineage: Eukaryota; Metazoa; Chordata; Mammalia; Proboscidea; Elephantidae
Rfam family: Six3os1 conserved region 3
Source: Rfam